UACUUUUAUUAAAAUACAUUGUUCACACCUCAGGGCCUAACAAAGCAAGGGUGCUCCAACAACUGUGGCGUGUUUGUUUUGAUGGUAAGACCUAAUCAGUAUGUUAUAGCAUUGCUGUUGUCUGUAAAAAUGUUUGUUUGCUACAUUAAAACCACAUUAAUUUGUAUUGAAAAAAAAUUAUCCUUCGGAACACGCCUGACAUUAUAUUAACCAGUACCUCUUGACUUUCAGUACACUCUGUACAUUGUAAUGGGGGCCAAUUGUGAUUUCAGAGAGGUAUGUGUAAAUCGUGACACAUUAUGCUUAGUGUACAAGGUGUUAUUUCUUUUUACAACAUAUUAACAUCUUCCUGCAUUUCCUUCUUCAAAGGAAAACAUGCUGCAAAUUAGGAGAUGGUGGUGUCUCGCUCUCCUGCAGAACUUCCCCAUACCAUCUGAGGAAGACCGAUUGCAGGACAGAAAACGGCGACGAGUGCAAGGAGGGCUACAGACGCUGGGAAAUUGACGGACCUGGAAACCGGGAACAGGGUUGCUUGCUAUGGGCCAGAAAAAUACCUUGAUACUUGCCUUUGUCAAACAUUUAUGGAAGCUUUUUUUUUUUCUUCUUUACA
Long non-coding RNA from Gadus macrocephalus (Pacific cod), 610 nucleotides. RefSeq lists it as uncharacterized. Lineage: Eukaryota; Metazoa; Chordata; Actinopteri; Gadiformes; Gadidae. The record is from RefSeq and is a predicted model, not a curated record. The transcript is spliced from 3 exons.